RNAcentral lists this ribosomal RNA (497 nucleotides) under uncultured bacterium. Its description in RNAcentral is "partial 16S ribosomal RNA". It matches the Rfam family "Bacterial small subunit ribosomal RNA", at positions 28 to 507 of the family's 1533-position model. The record is from RNAcentral.
GACGAACGCUGGCGGCGUGCCUAAUACAUGCAAGUUGAGCGAUGAAGAUUGGUGCUUGCACCUAUUUGAAGAGCAGCGAACGGGUGAGUAACGCGCGGGGAAUCUGCCUUUGAGCGGGGGACAACAUUUGGAAACGAAUGCUAAUACCGCAUAACAACUUUAAACAUAAGUUUUAAGUUUGAAAGAUGCAAUUGCAUCACUCAAAGAUGAUCUCGCGUUGUAUUAGCUAGUUGGUGAGGUAAAGGCUCACCAAGGCGAUGAUACAUAGCCGACCUGAGAGGGUGAUCGGCCACAUUGGGACUGAGACACGGCCCAAACUCCUACGGGAGGCAGCAGGAGGGAAUCUUCGGCAAUGGACGAAAGUCUUGCCGAGCAACGCCGCGGGAGUGAAGAAGGGUUUCGGAUCGUAAAACUCUGUUGGUAGAGAAGAACGUUGGUGAGAGUGGAAAGCUCAUCAAGUGACGGUAACUACCCAGAAAGGGACGGCUAACUACGUG